CCUACGGGGGGCAGCAGUGAGGAAUAUUGGUCAAUGGACGAGAGUCUGAACCAGCCAAGUAGCGUGAAGGAUGACUGCCCUAUGGGUUGUAAACUUCUUUUAUAUGGGAAUAAAAUGUUCCACGUGUGGGCUUUUGUAUGUACCAUAUGAAUAAGGAUCGGCUAACUCCGUGCCAGCAGCCGCGGUAAUACGGAGGAUCCGAGCGUUAUCCGGAUUUAUUGGGUUUAAAGGGUGCGUAGGUGGAAUGUUAAGUCAGUGGUGAAAUUUUGCGGCUCAACCCUAGAAUUGCAUUUGAAACUGGCAGUCUUGAGUGCAGUAGAGGUAGGCGGAAUUCGUGGUGUAGCGGUGAAAUGCUUAGAGAUCACGCAGAACUCCGAUUGCGAAGGCAGCUCACCGGACUGCAACUGACACUGAGGCUCGAAAGUGUGGGUAUCAAACAGGAUUAGAUACCCGAGUAGUC
Molecule: ribosomal RNA, 460 nt
Filed under: uncultured bacterium
Lineage: Bacteria
Description: partial 16S ribosomal RNA
Rfam family: Bacterial small subunit ribosomal RNA
Source: RNAcentral